UGGGACCCGUUGGGUCCCUGCUACACACGGGAGGGCCGGCCCUCCAAAGCAAAAUUCCACCUCUCCACCAAUUCCAAUA
Molecule: long non-coding RNA, 79 nt
Organism: Amblyraja radiata (thorny skate)
Lineage: Eukaryota; Metazoa; Chordata; Chondrichthyes; Rajiformes; Rajidae
Exons: 3
Source: RefSeq, a predicted model, not a curated record